This 1228-nucleotide long non-coding RNA is filed under the name Vulpes vulpes (red fox). RNAcentral's name for it is "lncRNA (ENSVVUG00000030262.1)". Lineage: Eukaryota; Metazoa; Chordata; Mammalia; Carnivora; Canidae. The record is from RNAcentral.
GCCUCGCCCUUAGGUGUGCUUUUGUCCUGCACCGCGACACGUGUAGGUUAGAGUCGCAGAUAAAGAAUUGAUACUGUAGAUGCGUUUCCCACGCGUCCUUUCUCACCCACACGAUGCCAGAGCGAGAUCACGCUACCGAACGUUUUAUGGUCUCUUCCGAGUUCGUAGUCGAGCUGCACUACCACGGGCUUCGGUGCCACUCUUACGUGGGCCAGACGUGCAACACAUAAGGCGAGAAACCUAACCGACUCCAUCCUGGGGACCGUGGCUCCCUUCGUGGAAGCAGGUGGUGCGGCGCGGGGCGGGGCGGAGCGGCAGGCGCGGUCCAGUUCUGAAGUCACAAAACUCAAAAGCUGCUCAUUCCUGUCCUCUCCAGGCAAAGGCAGCUCAAGCAUCUCAUCCGACGUGAGUUCAAGUACAGAUCACACGCCGACCCAAGCCCAGAAGAAUGUGGCUACCAGUGAAGGACUUACAGGACAUAAGGCGGAUUUCCGCGCAUAGACAGUUCACUCACACUGGCGGGUUGGAUUACGGCAAAGAAUUCUUCGGGCCACGUGCAUGUGGUUGAGGUGGCCUAAAGGAAUGCAGGCACCCAAGCUGCAGGGCUCUCCCCCACCCCCCGUUCCGGGACUCUGCCAAUUCCCUGUGAUCCAGAGAAGCACUGCAUUCGGUGUCCCCAAAUCCCUACGUAUCUUACUUCUUCAAAACGUCCCAUCAUUUUGAGGUCAAUCCACGGAUCCAUCUCGAUGAUCUCAGUGUCAGAGACCAAGUCCUUCAAUGAGCACUUGGAGCUCAGGUACGGACGCAAAAGUGUGAGCUCACAAGGGCAAGGGUUGCUUCCUCUCCUGUCACAUUCCUGUCACCUUCACAGUGGUGGGGCCAAGGGUGCUAAAGGGAUAAGUUAAGGAACGGGAGGGUGACCCCUGCUGGCCCCCUUGUGGAUGGGAAUCCUGCCUCUUUUGUGCAGCUCUAUAUUCGCAGCCCCUGCCACCACAUCUGCCUCCCAUUUGUUGAGCAAAUGAACUUAAGAAUUUGAUCCCUAGGGCAGCCCGGGUGGCACAGUGUUUUAACACCACCUUCAGCCCAGGGCGUUAUCCUGGAGACCUGGGAUCGAGUCCCGCGUCGGGCUCCCUGCAUGGAGCCUGCUUCUCCCUCUGACUGUGCCUCUGCCUCUCUCUCUGUAUCUGUCAUGAAUAAAUAAAUAAAAUCUUAAAAAAAAAAAAAAAAG